GAUGAACGCUGGCGGCGUGCCUAAUACAUGCAAGUCGAGCGAACAGACGAGGAGCUUGCUCCUCUGACGUUAGCGGCGGACGGGUGAGUAACACGUGGAUAACCUACCUAUAAGACUGGGAUAACUUCGGGAAACCGGAGCUAAUACCGGAUAAUAUAUUGAACCGCAUGGUUCAAUAGUGAAAGACGGUUUUGCUGUCACUUAUAGAUGGAUCCGCGCCGCAUUAGCUAGUUGGUAAGGUAACGGCUUACCAAGGCAACGAUGCGUAGCCGACCUGAGAGGAUGAUCGGCCACACUGGAACUGAGACACGGUCCAGACUCCUACGGGAGGCAGCAGUAGGGAAUCUUCCGCAAUGGGCGAAAGCCUGACGGAGCAACGCCGCGUGAGUGAUGAAGGUCUUCGGAUCGUAAAACUCUGUUAUUAGGGAAGAACAAAUGUGUAAGUAACUAUGCACGUCUUGACGGUACCUAAUCAGAAAGCCACGGCUAACUACGU
This 496-nucleotide ribosomal RNA is filed under the name uncultured bacterium. RNAcentral's name for it is "partial 16S ribosomal RNA". It matches the Rfam family "Bacterial small subunit ribosomal RNA", at positions 28 to 506 of the family's 1533-position model. The record is from RNAcentral.